AGUGAACGCUGGCGGUAGGCCUAACACAUGCAAGUCGAACGGCAGCACAGUAAGAUCUUGCUCUUACGGGUGGCGAGUGGCGGACGGGUGAGGAAUACAUCGGAAUCUACUUUUUCGUGGGGGAUAACGUAGGGAAACUUACGCUAAUACCGCAUACGACCUACGGGUGAAAGCAGUGGAUCUUCGGACCUUUCGCGAUUGAAUGAGCCGAUGUCGGAUUAGCUAGUUGGCGGGGUAAAGGCCCACCAAGGCGACGAUCCGUAGCUGGUCUGAGAGGAUGAUCAGCCACACUGGAACUGAGACACGGUCCAGACUCCUACGGGAGGCAGCAGUGGGGAAUAUUGGACAAUGGGCGCAAGCCUGACCCAGCCAUACCGCGUGGGUGAAGAAGGCCUUCGGGUUGUAAAGCCCUUUUGUUGGGAAAGAAAAGCAGCAGGUUAAUACCCCGCUGUUCUGACGGUACCCAAAGAAUAAGCACCGGCUAACUUCGUG
This 492-nucleotide ribosomal RNA is filed under the name uncultured bacterium. RNAcentral's name for it is "partial 16S ribosomal RNA". It matches the Rfam family "Bacterial small subunit ribosomal RNA", at positions 29 to 507 of the family's 1533-position model. The record is from RNAcentral.